RNAcentral lists this ribosomal RNA (399 nucleotides) under uncultured bacterium. RNAcentral describes it as "partial 16S ribosomal RNA". It matches the Rfam family "Bacterial small subunit ribosomal RNA", at positions 360 to 774 of the family's 1533-position model. The record is from RNAcentral.
AAUAUUUCACAAUGGAGGGAACUCUGAUGCAGCAACGCCGCGUGAGUGAAGAAUUUUUUCGUAUCGUAAAACUCUUUCAUGUGGGAAGAAUAAAUAACGGUACCCAAGGAGUAAUCCCCGGCUAACUACGUGCUAGCAGCCGCGGUAAUACGUAGGGGGCGAUCGUUGUCCGGAAUUAAUGGGCGUAAAGGGUACGUAGGCGGCUAUAUAAGUCAGGUGUGAAAUACCAGUGCUUAACACUGGAAUUGCAUUUGAAACUGUGUAGCUUGAGUGCAGGAGAGGAAAGUGGAAUUCCUAGUGUAGCGGUGAAAUGCGUAGAGAUUAGGAGGAACACCAGUGGCGAAGGCGGCUCACUGGUCCAUUACUGACGCUGAGGUGCGAAAGCGUGGGGAGCAAACA